GGGAGAGCCUGUGCCUCAGUUUCCCCAUCACUGCAGUGAGAUGGUGAUGAAAUAACUGAGGUAGCUUCCGUUUAUGAAGCGCCGUGAAGAAUUUGAUGAGCUCGUAAGCCACAAGGUCUUGCCUCCUGAGGAUGAGUCCUGCAGGAGCAGAGACACCAAUCCCACCUGGAAGGGAGAAGAGCCCCGAGCACACAGUGAAGCCAUGGAAUGGAGGGGUGGUGAAACAGGUUCCAUAAGCUCACCCAAGGCAAAGAGGAAAAUAGACUCUUGCUCAGAUGAAGUCAGCUAGAAAUUAUCCUGGGAAUCAGCAUCUCCUUCAGCUGCCUUCGUCACAAAAGCAACAGAACCAAGAGGCUGCCUCACUCGAGCGUCAUGGAGGCAAUUUUUGGGCACUGUGAGGUAACUGUGCUGACUUUGAAGUGACUUUUGAUUUGUACCCCCAGAAGUGAAGAGAGGAGCCAGACACUCAGCUUCUGGAAACAUUCCCACUCCCUGCCCUGUUCAUCAGGACUGCCCCACGGCCGCCUGCGUCUCUCCCUGUUUGCGAGCAGGUGCCGCGGUGUGAGAGACGGCGCCGGGCAGGGCAGCGCCGCUCCGCGCAGCGCAGGGCAAGCACAGCGGCGAGGAUGCUGACGGUGCCCAGCGCUGGGUGCCGCCAAGUCCAGCGGCCACGACAGCCAAAGAACCGCAGAGCCGAGGGAAGCAGCUGGCAGUCUGCGUGGGUUUUGCCGUAGGUGUGACUUUAUGCGGGUGUUUCAAAGUUUCUUCACGCUAAAAAGGAAGAGGAAAAGCAAACUGUUUGCAGAGGUGCAUCUGCUCUUCCGCUUUUGGUCUGCGCUGAGUGAUCAAACGGGACCAGCCCCUCUCGAGUUGCUCCUCCUUGUUUGCUUCCUGGAUGUCUAACAGCAUCCACUGUGAAUCUGCUGCGUGGAUUCCCUCUGGGCAUCUGCAGGAAGUACUCCUAGGAGAGCACUUUGGCUUUGUCCUGCAAGGAAAUGAGGAAAAGAAGAAACACAAGGCCAGUGUGUGCCCUGCUGUGGGCUGGGACAGGCUCCGCUGCUCCUGGGAUGGCUGCCAGACUGCUCCUGGUGGGACCAGCACAGCUUCGCAGGAGGCGGCAGGGCAGGAUUGAACUUGUCUCGACUGCUGUGAGCAGCUGCCUCAGUGCUGUGCCAGGUUUCAGACUGUUCCUCUGUUCAUCUCUUCCAUCACGGGCUCCUCUCUCAGCAGCCAGCUUUGAAAAGGUGAGAACAAUUUGUGACACGUGAUUGAUGGCAGCUUUGCCUCAAAACAGCACUGCCAAAAGCAGUAAGUGGUUGUCCUCUCACUUGGCACUGGUGAGGCCAUUUUUACCAGGGUCCUUGUCCAGCUGCGGUUUCCUAGGGACUGUCAUUUUGUGUCCAGGUGGUGGCUGUCUUAAUAAAAGCAA
Molecule: long non-coding RNA, 1429 nt
Organism: Pogoniulus pusillus (Red-fronted tinkerbird)
Lineage: Eukaryota; Metazoa; Chordata; Aves; Piciformes; Lybiidae
Exons: 6
Source: RefSeq, a predicted model, not a curated record